AAGUGAUAAAGGCAAACUUGCUGAAAGGUAAGGACGCAAAGCCACAGGUCUAAGGCGAACGGUUCGCUACGACGGCUGGGUUGCCACC
This 88-nucleotide non-coding RNA is filed under the name Alicyclobacillus sp. Its description in RNAcentral is "c-di-GMP sequence". It matches the Rfam family "c-di-GMP-I riboswitch aptamer". From Rfam's summary of the family: GEMM was predicted in a large-scale screen for bacterial structured RNA regulatory elements. Genes associated with GEMM are involved in a diverse array of functions, including chemotaxis regulation, signal transduction, secretion and chitin. Lineage: Bacteria; Bacillati; Bacillota; Bacilli; Caryophanales; Alicyclobacillaceae. The record is from RNAcentral.